This 232-nucleotide ribosomal RNA is filed under the name uncultured bacterium. RNAcentral describes it as "partial 16S ribosomal RNA". It matches the Rfam family "Bacterial small subunit ribosomal RNA", at positions 99 to 334 of the family's 1533-position model. The record is from RNAcentral.
CGGACGGGUGGGUAAUGUAUGGGGAUCUGCCUGAUGGCGGGGGAUAACUACUGGAAACGGUAGCUAAUACCGCAUAAUGUCUACGGACCAAAGCGGGGGACCUCCGGGCCUCGCGCCAUCAGAUGAACCCAUAUGGGAUUAGCUAGUAGGUGAGGUAACGGCUUACCUAGGCGACGAUCCCUAGCUGGUCUGAGAGGAUGAUCAGCCACACUGGGACUGAGACACGGCCCAG